RNAcentral lists this ribosomal RNA (460 nucleotides) under uncultured bacterium. Its description in RNAcentral is "partial 16S ribosomal RNA". It matches the Rfam family "Bacterial small subunit ribosomal RNA", at positions 338 to 795 of the family's 1533-position model. The record is from RNAcentral.
CCUACGGGGGACAGCAGUGAGGAAUAUUGGUCAAUGGGCGCGAGCCUGAACCAGCCAAGUAGCGUGAAGGAUGACUGCCCUACGGUUUUUAAACUUCUUUUAUAAAGGACUAAAGUGAGGCACGUGUGCCUUUUUGUAUUUACUUUAUGAAUAAGGAUCGGCUAACUCCGUUCCAGCCGCCGCGGUAAUACGGAGGAUCCGAGCGUUAUACUGAUUUAUUGUGUUUAAAGGGAGCGUAGAUGGGUUGUUAAGUCAGUUGUGAAAGUUUGCGGCUCAACCGUAAAAUUGCAAUUGAUACUGGCAGUCUUGAGUGCAGUUGAGGUAGGCGGAAUUCGUGGUGUAGCGGUGAAAUGCGUAGAUAUCACGAAGAACUCCGAUUGCGAAGGCAGCUUACUAAACUGCCACUGACAUUGAUGCUCGAAAGUGUGGGGAUCAAACAGGAUUAGAUACCCGGGUAGUC